CUCCUGCCUGCACGCCUCCCGCUGUGGUCCACUGCCGGUGGUCUUCAGCUCUCUCCUCGUCCCACCCCCAUGGUCUGCUGACAGCCCAGCUCAGUGCAUCCCUGCCAUCUCUGCUCUACCGCUGGUCCUCCCAACAACCAACUUACAGGGUUUCACUCCCGUCACCCAGACUGGAGUACAAUGGUGCGAUCUCAGCUCACUGCAACCUCUGCCUCCUGGGCUUAAGCGAUUCUCCUGCCUUGGCCUCCCAAGUAGCUGGGAUUACAGGUGCCUGCCACCACUCCUGGCUAAUUUUUGUAUUUUUUGUAAAGGCGGAGUUUCUCCAUGUUGCCCAGGCUAGUCUCAAACUCCUGAGCUCAAGCAAUCCACCCGCCUCGGCCUCCCAAAUAAGUGGAAUUAUAGGUGUGAGCCACCACGCCGGCCCUGAUGUAUCAAUAUUAAAACAUUUUCUUCAGCCUACAAGUUCUUCUUUUUCUUAUUUGGAUGCAAACUAAAACAUUUUGUGGGCCCUUAGAUUGAACAUUCUCAUGGGUCCUGUGCCUCCUGUGCGUCAUGGAGAAGGCAGCCCUGCAUGGCUCUCACAUCCUCUUCCCCCACGCAAAUG
This 604-nucleotide long non-coding RNA is filed under the name Homo sapiens (human). RNAcentral's name for it is "HSALNT0351659". Lineage: Eukaryota; Metazoa; Chordata; Mammalia; Primates; Hominidae. The record is from RNAcentral.